This 1285-nucleotide ribosomal RNA is filed under the name Bacillus pumilus. RNAcentral's name for it is "bacterial SSU rRNA". It matches the Rfam family "Bacterial small subunit ribosomal RNA", at positions 81 to 1353 of the family's 1533-position model. Lineage: Bacteria; Bacillati; Bacillota; Bacilli; Caryophanales; Bacillaceae. The record is from RNAcentral.
GCUCCCGGAUGUUAGCGGCGGACGGGUGAGUAAAACGUGGGUAACCUGCCUGUAAGACUGGGAUAACUCCGGGAAACCGGAGCUAAUACCGGAUAGUUCCUUGAACCGCAUGGUUCAAGGAUGAAAGACGGUUUCRGCUGUCACUUACAGAUGGACCCGCGGCGCAUUAGCUAGUUGGUGGGGUAAUGGCUCACCAAGGCGACGAUGCGUAGCCGACCUGAGAGGGUGAUCGGCCACACUGGGACUGAGACACGGCCCAGACUCCUACGGGAGGCAGCAGUAGGGAAUCUUCCGCAAUGGACGAAAGUCUGACGGAGCAACGCCGCGUGAGUGAUGAAGGUUUUCGGAUCGUAAAGCUCUGUUGUUAGGGAAGAACAAGUGCGAGAGUAACUGCUCGCACCUUGACGGUACCUAACCAGAAAGCCACGGCUAACUACGUGCCAGCASCCGCGGUAAUACGUAGGUGGCAAGCGUUGUCCGGAAUUAUUGGGCGUAAAGGGCUCGCAGGCGGUUUCUUAAGUCUGAUGUGAAAGCCCCCGGCUCAACCGGGGAGGGUCAUUGGAAACUGGGAAACUUGAGUGCAGAAGAGGAGAGUGGAAUUCCACGUGUAGCGGUGAAAUGCGUAGAGAUGUGGAGGAACACCAGUGGCGAAGGCGACUCUCUGGUCUGUAACUGACGCUGAGGAGCGAAAGCGUGGGGAGCGAACAGGAUUAGAUACCCUGGUAGUCCACGCCGUAAACGAUGAGUGCUAAGUGUUAGGGGGUUUCCGCCCCUUAGUGCUGCAGCUAACGCAUUAAGCACUCCGCCUGGGGAGUACGGUCGCAAGACUGAAACUCAAAGGAAUUGACGGGGGCCCGCACAAGCGGUGGAGCAUGUGGUUUAAUUCGAAGCAACGCGAAGAACCUUACCAGGUCUUGACAUCCUCUGACAACCCUAGAGAUAGGGCUUUCCCUUCGGGGACAGAGUGACAGGUGGUGCAUGGUUGUCGUCAGCUCGUGUCGUGAGAUGUUGGGUUAAGUCCCGCAACGAGCGCAACCCUUGAUHUUAGUUGCCAGCAUUUAGUUGGGCACUCUAAGGUGACUGCCGGUGACAAACCGGAGGAAGGUGGGGAUGACGUCAAAUCAUCAUGCCCCUUAUGACCUGGGCUACACACGUGCUACAAUGGACAGAACAAAGGGCUGCGAGACCGCAAGGUUUAGCCAAUCCCAUAAAUCUGUUCUCAGUUCGGAUCGCAGUCUGCAACUCGACUGCGUGAAGCUGGAAUCGCUAGUAAUCGCGGAUCAGC